GGCCAGUGGCUCAAUAGUAGCGAGGCUGACUCCAGAUCAGAAGGCUGCGUGUUCGAAUCACGCCCGUCA
This is a non-coding RNA of Cordylochernes scorpioides, 69 nucleotides long. The record is from the annotation of a GenBank genome assembly. NCBI's taxonomy places the organism in Eukaryota, Metazoa, Arthropoda, Arachnida, Pseudoscorpiones, Chernetidae.